AGAAUGACUCUCGGCAACGGAUAUCUAGGCUCUUGCAUCGAUGAAGAACGUAGCGAAAUGCGAUACUUGGUGUGAAUUGCAGAAUCCCGUGAACCAUCGAGUCUUUGAACGCAAGUUGCGCCCGAAGCCAUUAGGUUGAGGGCACGCCUGCCUGGGCGUCACAU
This 164-nucleotide ribosomal RNA is filed under the name Astragalus membranaceus. RNAcentral describes it as "5.8S ribosomal RNA". It matches the Rfam family "5.8S ribosomal RNA". Rfam says of the family: 5.8S ribosomal RNA (5.8S rRNA) is a component of the large subunit of the eukaryotic ribosome. Lineage: Eukaryota; Viridiplantae; Streptophyta; Magnoliopsida; Fabales; Fabaceae. The record is from RNAcentral.